Molecule: ribosomal RNA, 136 nt
Filed under: uncultured eukaryote
Lineage: Eukaryota
Description: partial 18S ribosomal RNA
Rfam family: Eukaryotic small subunit ribosomal RNA
Source: RNAcentral
UCGUGGAGUGAUUUGUCUGCUUAAUUGCCUUAACGAACGAGACCUUAACCUGCUAACCUAGACGCGGUGAUUCUUUCGCCGUUGUGCUUCUUAGAGGGACUAUGUUUUAAAUACAUGGAAGUUUGAGGCAAUAACA